Molecule: ribosomal RNA, 969 nt
Filed under: Triticum aestivum (bread wheat)
Lineage: Eukaryota; Viridiplantae; Streptophyta; Magnoliopsida; Poales; Poaceae
Description: partial small subunit ribosomal RNA
Source: RNAcentral
AUGAACCACACCACACUUGCCACCCACACACCGCGAAACUCAUGCAUAAAUCCUCCGGGCCUCUGCUACCUAUGUAGCUCCUGCUCGAAGUUUCCACAAACACUUGUGUGUGUACAUGCGCACCAUGGCCAUGCACGCCGCAAUGACCACCACGCAUCUCCCCAUCGUCCUCCUCUUUGUCUCCGCCGUGAUCAUGUCCGGCGCUUCGGCUUGGUCACCGUCGUCACUGCAGUUCCACUACAUCGACCCUCGCAACUUUACCAUGGCCGUAACCGCAGCCUCUUCGUCGGGGCGGCCGGCCUGCUCGGCCUCGGCUGGGGGCCCAUGUCGCUCGUCGGGCAGCUCGGCGGCGCGGCAGGUGGCGCGUUCAGCUACUGCCUCGCCAGCCCCGACGCCGGCGCCGGGUCGCUCGUGCUCGGCCGGGACGAAGCCAUGCCGGUGGGCGCCGUGUGGGUGCCCCUGCUGCGCAACGCGCAGGAGCUGAGCUUCUACUACGUGGACCUGACAGGGCUGGGCGUCGGCGGCGAGAGGCUCCCGCUGCAGGACGGGCUCUUCGACGUCACAGAGGACGGCAGCGGCGGCGUAGUGAUGGACACCGGCACGGCCGUGACGCGGCUCCCGGCCGAUGCCUACGCCGCGCUGCGGGACGCGUUCGCGGACGCCGUCGGCGGCGGCCUCCCGCGCGCCGGGCGUGCCGCUGCUGGACACGUUUUACGACCUGAGUGGGUACGCGAGCGUGCGCGUGCCGACGGUGGCCCUCUACUUCGGGCGCGACGGCGCGGCGCUGACGCUGCCGGCGAGGAACCUGCUGGUGGAGAUGGGCGGCGGCGUGUACUGCCUGGCGUUCGCGGCGUCGGCGUCGGGGCUGUCCAUCCUCGGCAACAUACAGCAGCAAGGGAUCCAGAUCACCGUCGAUUCCGCCACUGGCUACGUUGGCUUCGGACCAACUACGUGCUAGCACAAGCCUAG